RNAcentral lists this ribosomal RNA (823 nucleotides) under uncultured marine bacterium. RNAcentral's name for it is "bacterial SSU rRNA". It matches the Rfam family "Bacterial small subunit ribosomal RNA", at positions 61 to 874 of the family's 1533-position model. The record is from RNAcentral.
GUCGAACGGCAGCAUAGAGAGCUUGCUCUCUGAUGGCGAGUGGCGAACGGGUGAGUAAUAUAUCGGAACGUACCUAGUAAUGGGGAACAACUAGCCGAAAGGUUAGCUAAUACCGCAUACGACCUACGGGUGAAAGCAGGGGAUCUUCGGACCUUGCGUUAUUAGAGCGGCCGAUAUCUGAUUAGGUAGUUGGUGGGGUAAAAGCCUACCAAGCCAACGAUCAGUAGCUGGUCUGAGAGGACGAUCAGCCACACUGGAACUGAGACACGGUCCAGACUCCUACGGGAGGCAGCAGUGGGGAAUUUUGGACAAUGGGGGCAACCCUGAUCCAGCCAUUCCGCGUGAGUGAAGAAGGCCUUCGGGUUGUAAAGCUCUUUCACAAGAGAAGAAAUCUUACUAUCAAAUAAAUAGUAAGGAUGACGGUAUCUUGAGAAGAAGCACCGGCUAACUACGUGCCAGCAGCCGCGGUAAUACGUAGGGUGCGAGCGUUAAUCGGAAUUACUGGGCGUAAAGCGUGCGCAGGCGGUUUUAUAAGUCAGAUGUGAAAUCCCCGAGCUCAACUUGGGAACUGCGUUUGAAACUGUAAGACUAGAGUGUGUCAGAGGGGGGUAGAAUUCCAUGUGUAGCAGUGAAAUGCGUAGAUAUAUGGAGGAAUACCAAUGGCGAAGGCAGCCCCCUGGGAUAACACUGACGCUCAUGCACGAAAGCGUGGGGAGCAAACAGGAUUAGAUACCCUGGUAGUCCACGCCCUAAACGAUGUCUACUAGUUGUUGGUGGAGUAAAAUCCAUGAGUAACGCAGCUAACGCGUGAAGUAGACCGCCU